UGUUUACAUUUGACAUGAUUCUGCACUUUUGCUGUUGCCACUCAACAAACACAAACAAUGGUUAAUAAAUGGUGUCUAUUAAACUUAAACCAUUAAAUUGUUUCAAUUAUUUCCUAAUUAUGCAUGAUUAAAUGUUAAACCGUCAAGAAACCUGUUGAUACUAUUUUAAUGUACAGUUUGUUUAUCAUGUCUUUGCCUUGUUUUUGUGACUCAAACGCCUUCAGGUUUGAAAUCUUCAACACCACCAUUGAUUAUUAUAAAGAUCAAUGAAACUUCAAUGGAGCAGCUGAAUUGAUUCCUCUGGUUGUCUUUGAAAAACCAUCAUCAGGAUUACAAUCAGUGCUAUUAAUAUUAUUAUCGUCAACAUCAUCUUUAUAAUUUGGACAAAAUGGAUUCACUGUUUGGUUUAAUCACAGGCAAAGGUUAAAGAUUGUGUUACCAUCUUUAGUAUACAUUGCUCCUAAUGUAUAUUCAUAUAUGUGAUCGUGAUUCAAUUGUCUUGAAAUUAAAUCCAAAAGGCUAAAUUAAGAAUAACUGUUACGAUAUGGAUAACAAUUAAAGGAAUACACUGACAAGAAAAGUGAAAAUGUUUGAAUAAUCACACAACCAUUAUUCGGAUAAUCAUGUCACUUGGAUCAAGUCAAGUCAAGAUUUACUAAUUUAUAAAGACUGAUAUCUGUCAAUCAAUCUGAUUGCUGAAAGAUGAAAUUAAAAUGAAGCUAAAUCAUGUACAAAGUGUCUAACAAUCAAAUUGGUACCUUCCUGUUUUAUUCAUCAUUCAAAUACCAAGGAUUGGCACAGAUGAGUUACCUAACGUGUUAUUAAAAAAUUGUUCAAUUCAACAAUUGUUAUAACACUUGUUUACUGUUGAUUAAUAUCAAUAAUCACAGUUAACAAUUUCAAGAAAUGUGGAAACAAUCUGGUUAACCCAAGUGUUUAGACUUACGUAUGAUUGCUGUUGAUUGACAUUAACACAUUAUCAUUAUCAUUAUCACCAUCAUGAUCAGCUGUCCAUGUGAUAAUUGUAUUAAAAUGUUAAAAUUGUAAACCAGGCCAGGUCAGUUAUAUGAAAGCGUCAAGUCAUCUUCAAGUGUAACAAUCAACCAUUAUUGCAAUGAUUUCAUUUAAUUAAAUGAAAUGAUGAUCACUCGGUCAGCCGGAAGUUAAUAGAGCUUCUCUCUUCCUCUGGGCUAAUGAUGAUGAUUAUGUUGAUGAUGAUGAUGAUUAUGAUGAAAAAUUAGAGUGAAAUUUCCUUGCUUUAAUCACAAAUCUGUACGAGUUUGCCUUAAGCAAGGGAAAAAUAUAAAUCAGUUAACUAGCAGUUUGAUUAAGGUUAAACAAUUUAAAUUGAUUACUGUUAAACGUUUGAUUCCGCAUUUUUUUGUAUCAACUAAAUCACUUGUAAUUUAUUUAUUUGUAUCUUAUUGUAAACAUUUUAUGCUCAUGAAAAUGAAAUGUUUUAAAAUGUAAUUUAUACAUCUAUGUGUUAUGUGAUACUUCAGUAAAUCCCUAAUCUCAUCCUAAUUGACUAAUCAAAUUAACUGCAUUUAAUUUUAUCAAAUGACCACAUCAAUACAGAACUUUAAAAAUUGUAAUUUGUAACAGUUGCUUAAGACCAGUAAUAAGUAAAUUAUAAAUCAAUUAAUGGUCCAUCUUUUUAUCAAUUUAGGUGAAAUUAUGGUUUAAAUGAGACGUUAAUCAUUUUAAAUUGAUCUAAUAAAGUUCACAGUUUGUUUUUUAA
Long non-coding RNA from Tetranychus urticae (two-spotted spider mite), 1741 nucleotides. RefSeq lists it as uncharacterized. The record is from RefSeq and is a predicted model, not a curated record. NCBI's taxonomy places the organism in Eukaryota, Metazoa, Arthropoda, Arachnida, Trombidiformes, Tetranychidae.